AGGAGGGAUGGGUGGCAGGGGUAGAAUGGUGUGGGAAGAGCUUCCUGCUGAUUUUUGAGUUUGAGUGUGAGGUUGUUGGAGUGGCGUGAAAUGUGGAGGACGACACGGAGGAUGACCUGAAACAUCCCUCGACCGGACCAUGUACAGGAGAACCACCCCCCGGAGAGGACGACGACCUGAAUGAUCCUACGAUCGGACCAUCAUCAGGAGGACGACCCCCUGGACAGGAGGACGACCUGAAGGAUCCCACGACCGGACCAUCUUCAGGAGGACCACCCCCUGGAGGACGACCCGAAGGAUCCCAUGACCAGACCAUUUACAGGAGGACCACCACUUGGAGAGGAGGAUGACCGGGAGGGUCCAACGACCAGACCAUCUUCAGGAGGAUCACCCCCUUGAGAUGACGACCCGAAGGAUCUCCUAACGAGGACCACCCUCUGGACAGGACAACGAGCAGAGAAGAACCCAAAGGAAUCCACGACAGGACCAUCUACAGGAGAAAGCUGCCAAGCCAAAUAUUGAAAGCCACCCAAGAAGCAUAUGCUCUGUCCAGACAAGGGUCUUCCAUUCAACCUGGAUUGUAGCAUCCCCUCUUCUGCAUUAUGUCAUUCAGCCAAGUGAGAGUGCUUGCUGACAUGGUCAAAUUGUGUCAAUAGCACUGUGAAACAAUCUUUUAUUCAGUCGGUCAAGAACUAACGGACAAUUGCCAGGCAUCUAGAAUCCCGCCAACAUGCAGCUGCUCUUGAAUGGACUAGUCACUUCCUCCAGAUAGCUACCAUGGACAACUUUAAAAGCUGAUGAAGCAGUUUUAUUUCUCUUGUGAAGUUAUGUUGAUAGUACUGUAAAACCAGUAAAGACUCAAGAGAACAACAUUCCUUGUAUGAUAUCCAGCUGGAGAUUUUAUUUAUAAGAAGUCACUGAGAUACAUGUUCACUGAUUUAGAACAAGACAUUUCGUUCUUACUUUCAGUCCAAACUUUGGUGAUAUUAGAAGGUCUAGCCACUAUUCUGGUCAAACAAGUCUCACAGUGCUCUGGUGCUACAUUUUCUGUAUAUCACACUCAGGCUUAAAGUGACACAGUGGGGCUGUAGCUGUAGAGAAGGGCAGAUAGGUUGAUAGGGAGCUAGGUGGUUAGGCUAGGUUCAGAGUAGGAUUUCGUAGGUGUUGCCAUGGCCAU
Molecule: long non-coding RNA, 1177 nt
Filed under: Aplysia californica (California sea hare)
Lineage: Eukaryota; Metazoa; Mollusca; Gastropoda; Aplysiida; Aplysiidae
Description: uncharacterized LOC106011804, transcript variant X4
Source: RNAcentral